AGUGAACGCUGGCGGUAGGCCUAACACAUGCAAGUCGAACGGCAGCACAGUAAGAGCUUGCUCUUACGGGUGGCGAGUGGCGGACGGGUGAGGAAUACAUCGGAAUCUACUUUUUCGUGGGGGAUAACGUAGGGAAACUUACGCUAAUACCGCAUACGACCUACGGGUGAAAGCAGGGGAUCUUCGGACCUUGCGCGAUUGAAUGAGCCGAUGUCGGAUUAGCUAGUUGGCGGGGUAAAGGCCCACCAAGGCGACGAUCCGUAGCUGGUCUGAGAGGAUGAUCAGCCACACUGGAACUGAGACACGGUCCAGACUCCUACGGGAGGCAGCAGUGGGGAAUAUUGGACAAUGGGCGCAGGCCUGAUCCAGCCAUACCGCGUGGGUGAAGAAGGCCUUCGGGUUGUAAAGCCCUUUUGUUGGGAAAGAAAAGCAGCAGGUUAAUACCCCGCUGUUCUGACGGUACCCAAAGAAUAAGCACCGGCUAACUUCAUG
RNAcentral lists this ribosomal RNA (492 nucleotides) under uncultured bacterium. RNAcentral describes it as "partial 16S ribosomal RNA". It matches the Rfam family "Bacterial small subunit ribosomal RNA", at positions 29 to 507 of the family's 1533-position model. The record is from RNAcentral.